Molecule: ribosomal RNA, 492 nt
Filed under: uncultured bacterium
Lineage: Bacteria
Description: partial 16S ribosomal RNA
Rfam family: Bacterial small subunit ribosomal RNA
Source: RNAcentral
AUUGAACGCUGGCGGCAUGCUUUACACAUGCAAGUCGAACGGUAACAGGCCUUCGGGUGCUGACGAGUGGCGAACGGGUGAGUAAUGCAUCGGAACGUACCCAGAGGUGGGGGAUAACGCAGCGAAAGCUGUGCUAAUACCUCAUGUGAUCUGAGGAUGAAAGCGGGGGACCGAGCAGCAAUGUUUGGCCUCGCGCCUUUGUAGCGGCUGAUGUCGGAUUAGCUAGUUGGUGGGGUAAGGGCCUACCAAGGCGACGAUCCGUAGCUGGUCUGAGAGGACGACCAGCCACACUGGGACUGAGACACGGCCCAGACUCCUACGGGAGGCAGCAAUGGGGAAUUUUGGACAAUGGGCGCAAGCCUGAUCCAGCAAUGCCGCGUGCGGGAAGAAGGCCUUCGGGUUGUAAACCGCUUUUGGCAGGAACGAAACGGUGUCCGCUAAUACCGGGCGCUAAUGACGGUACCUGCAGAGUAAGCACCGGCUAACUACGUG